This 220-nucleotide ribosomal RNA is filed under the name uncultured bacterium. Its description in RNAcentral is "partial 16S ribosomal RNA". It matches the Rfam family "Bacterial small subunit ribosomal RNA", at positions 524 to 741 of the family's 1533-position model. The record is from RNAcentral.
UACGAAGGGGGGCUAGCGUUGCUCGGAAUUACUGGGCGUAAAGGGCGCGUAGGCGGCACUGUUAGUCAGGCGUGAAAGUCCUGGGCUCAACCUGGGAACUGCGCUUGAUACGGCAGAGCUAGAGGAUGGAAGAGGGUCGCGGGAAUUCCCAGUGUAGAGGUGAAAUUCGUAGAUAUUGGGAAGAACACCGGUGGCGAAGGCGGCGACCUGGUCCAUUACU